GGUGGAGAUGGAGGCGAGGUGACUUCAACACUGCACUCUAGUACAGGGAGAUCGGGAAUGUACAUUCUCCCUAGUCUGAUAACUCUAUGCAAGAGGCUCUCCAGAGGGUAAUGAGGUCUGCACAACGGAUCACCGGUGGCAAACUGCCUGCCCUCCAGGAGACCUACACUGCCCGAUGUCACAGGAAGGUCAUACAGAUCAUCAAGGACAACAACCACCCGAGCCACUGCCUGUUCACCCCGCUAUCAUCCAGAAGGCGAGUUCGUCUUGUCUCGUCAUGCCUACCAGCGUUUUUCCCGUACAGCGGUUUUCUUUCUCGUUCCUGUUUUCUAGUUUUCCCGCUUUUGACCAUUUUGCCUGCCCUGACCCUGACCCUGAGCCUGGCUGCUGUACUGUACCUUGUGACACUGCCCUGGAUGACUGACCUCUGCUGACCCUGAGCCCGCCUGCCGUUCUGUACCGUUCGGACUCUGCUUUGGAUUACUGACCUCUGCCUGCCCUGUCGUUUUCCUGCACCCUGUUAUUGUAAUACAUUUUGUUACUUUGUACUGUCUGCAUCUGGGUCUUCUCCUGAGGUCUGAUAAUACUGCGUGAAAGUAGACUGAAUUUGGCAGUAUUUUUUUCAUUGUCUAUCAAUAUUUUCAGUUAACCUCUACAAGGCAACCCCACUGUUGCAGAAGUGAAGAAAAGGACAGAAAAGGUGGGGAUCCCUGAAAACUUUGCGAUACCUUUUCAUUUCUUCUUGUUUCUCAUCGACUGAAUCCCACAUUCUGAAAUGUAUUGUCACCGCAGUUAUUUUCAGUUCUGCUUUACUGUUUUGGGUUAAUUUUGAAAUGUGAUAGAUUUACGACUUGAUUUAUGCUUGAGGGGAAAAUGAGUAAAUAAGAUAAUGUUGAUAACCCAUAAUCAUGUUGUAUUUUUUGCUUGAUGUAGUAGCCAUGUAUUAACCCAAUGAAUUAAGCUUAAAUGAACCCCAUUGUAGCCUGUUUAUACUGGGUUCUAACAUGGGCCCUUCGUCCUGAUCUUUACCACAUUCUGAUUGUGCCCACUUUGUUUUCUGACUGUGAUUAGAUCUUCCUGUCCACCUCUGGAGGGGCCAGGAUAUCUGGUCAGAAUGAGGACACAGUGGAUGGAUAAGAGACACAUUUUAAUACCAUGUGUAGAUGCAACGGCUACAUUGUGCACAAAAUCAGAAUGUGUAUAAGUUUAGAACAAAGAAUGCAUGUCGGAACCAGUGGGGUAAAGAUUUUGGGUAUCUGUACUUUACUUUACUAUUUAUACUGUAUUUUUACAACUUUUACAUUUACUUCAUUUACAUUCCUAUAGAAAAUAAUGUACUUUCUACUCCAUACAUUUCUCUGACACCCAAAAGUACUCAUUACAUUUUGAAUGUAAGCAUGACAGGAAAAUUGUCAAAUUCACAUACUUAUCAAGAGAACAUCCCUGGUCAUCCCUAACUGCCUCUGAUCUGGCAGACUCACUGAACACAUUAUUACUGGUUUUUAUAUGAUAUCUGAUUUCUGGAGUGUGCCUCUGGCUAUCCGUCAAUAAAUAAAAAAACAAGAAAAUU
Molecule: long non-coding RNA, 1570 nt
Organism: Oncorhynchus keta (chum salmon)
Lineage: Eukaryota; Metazoa; Chordata; Actinopteri; Salmoniformes; Salmonidae
Exons: 3
Source: RefSeq, a predicted model, not a curated record